AAUAAAUUGCCUGAUUAAAGGGUUAUCUUGAUAGGAUAAAUUAAAUGAUUAAAAUCAUAUUUAUUA
This 66-nucleotide transfer RNA is filed under the name Manota sp. WQY001. Its description in RNAcentral is "tRNA-Ile". Lineage: Eukaryota; Metazoa; Arthropoda; Insecta; Diptera; Mycetophilidae. The record is from RNAcentral.